RNAcentral lists this ribosomal RNA (484 nucleotides) under uncultured bacterium. RNAcentral describes it as "partial 16S ribosomal RNA". It matches the Rfam family "Bacterial small subunit ribosomal RNA", at positions 28 to 507 of the family's 1533-position model. The record is from RNAcentral.
AUUGAACGCUGGCGGCAUGCUUUACACAUGCAAGUCGAACGGCAGCGCGGGCUUCGGCCUGGCGGCGAGUGGCGAACGGGUGAGUAAUGCAUCGGAACGUGCCCAGUAGUGGGGGAUAGCCCGGCGAAAGCCGGAUUAAUACCGCAUACGACCUGAGGGUGAAAGCGGGGGACCGAAAGGCCUCGCGCUAUUGGAGCGGCCGAUGUCGGAUUAGCUAGUUGGUGGGGUAAAGGCUUACCAAGGCGACGAUCCGUAGCUGGUCUGAGAGGACGACCAGCCACACUGGGACUGAGACACGGCCCAGACUCCUACGGGAGGCAGCAGUGGGGAAUGUUGGACAAUGGGGGCAACCCUGGUCCAGCCAUGCCGCGUGCGGGAAGAAGGCCUUCGGGUUGUAAACCGCUUUUGUUCGGGAAGAAAUCCUCUGGGCUAAUACCCCGGGGGGAUGACGGUACCGGAAGAAUAAGCACCGGCUAACUACGUG